Molecule: long non-coding RNA, 266 nt
Filed under: Sorghum bicolor (sorghum)
Lineage: Eukaryota; Viridiplantae; Streptophyta; Magnoliopsida; Poales; Poaceae
Description: long non-coding RNA (SBIC_LNC013179)
Source: RNAcentral
CCAUUUAUCUCAAUCAUUUAAGCAAAAGUUUUUCUUCCAAUUAUCUCCAUCAUCUUGAGGUGAUCAGUUAUAAUUAUGGCCAUUCCUUGGAUGUAUGCACACGUCUCCAUGCAGGACUUGGGCCAUCUUGGUUGUUCAUUGGUUGCAUGCAGGCAUGCACAUUAAUUAGAUUAAUUGGACCACAAUGAUUUACUGAAAAGACGUGAGUCUUUCAUGCUCCUUGGUCUCUGUGCACAAGGCUUAAACGAAGAAGACUAAUGGACGGA